This 433-nucleotide ribosomal RNA is filed under the name uncultured bacterium. Its description in RNAcentral is "partial 16S ribosomal RNA". It matches the Rfam family "Bacterial small subunit ribosomal RNA", at positions 29 to 507 of the family's 1533-position model. The record is from RNAcentral.
AACGAACGCUGGCGGCAUGCCUAACACAUGCAAGUCGAACGAGACCUUCGGGUCUAGUGGCGCACGGGUGCGUAACGCGUGGGAAUCUGCCCUUGGGUUCGGAAUAACAGUUGGAAACGACUGCUAAUACCGGAUGAUGACGUAAGUCCAAAGAUUUAUCGCCCAGGGAUGAGCCCGCGUAGGAUUAGCUAGUUGGUGGGGUAAAGGCCUACCAAGGCGACGAUCCUUAGCUGGUCUGAGAGGAUGAUCAGCCACACUGGGACUGAGACACGGCCCAGACUCCUACGGGAGGCAGCAGUGGGGAAUAUUGGACAAUGGGCGAAAGCCUGAUCCAGCAAUGCCGCGUGAGUGAUGAAGGCCUUAGGGUUGUAAAGCUCUUUUACCCGGGAUGAUAAUGACAGUACCGGGAGAAUAAGCCCCGGCUAACUACGUG